RNAcentral lists this ribosomal RNA (1041 nucleotides) under Triticum aestivum (bread wheat). Its description in RNAcentral is "partial small subunit ribosomal RNA". The record is from RNAcentral. Lineage: Eukaryota; Viridiplantae; Streptophyta; Magnoliopsida; Poales; Poaceae.
GGCCGAAGGAAUAGGGAAAGAGGAUGUAAGCCGAGAGGAGGAGAGGAGGCCACGGCGAAGGCCAGAAGGUCUAACGUCGGUUACCGCGGUGGCCGCGCCGGUAGGUUACGGUGCGAAGAACGCGCCGAGCCCCUCCCGUGCCGGUCCAAGCUCGAGGAGCUCCUGGGGCGUGGACGAGGGCGCGGCGGCCAAACCUGGGCGGAGGUGACGAAGCGGUCCUAACCGAGGAGCGACUCCCCGCCCACCAGCCGCCGCAACUUGUUCCACCUCGUGAUGCCCCAGGUCUCUCAGUGGCCGCUACCGGCCACGUACAAAGCUCGGAACCGAUUCCCUUACCGUUUCUGGUCCCCUUAAGGUAACUGGGGUUCCCUCCUUCAUGUUCUACGUCCAAAACAGAUCUGACACAGCCGUUGGUUAGUAAUAAAUGUAAGGCCUCGCACUCAUGGCGCCUGCCCCGUUGCCCAAGUAGGGUUAACGCCUCAUACCCAACCUCAAAUGGUUUCUGAGCUUUCUCCCCUUCUUUGCCCACGGCCACUCUGAUAAUAUGUCACCCUUCUUGGUAAUACUAAACGACUAUAUUUUACCCGUGUACUCUAGACGGGGCUACUUCAUAGUCUUACGGCCGUCGGUGGCGGGUAGACACCGCGUACGUGUUUACGGGGCAAAUGAAAGGUACCAAUGUAGGAAGCUAGGACGAUACGAGGACGAACAGUCAAUGCUACGACAUUGUCGACAAAGCAGCUAAUGUCAGUACCCGUAAACCCCUUAAACACCUAAACCUCGAUCUUCUUAAUCGUGACUGGACUACUAUCGCGGUGCGCUCGAUUGAUACACGACGACGUACCACGUUACGACAAAACCGUCACCGUCACUAAACCAACCGCACCACGGCACCUCAACAACUAACGCAAAGGCCAACCACGGCCCGUCUUAUUACCACGCAACCAGCGUGAGCGUGAGCCACCAACUGCUAACCUGAACGAAGUUUAGGUUAGUAAUACACUCAUACACUACCAAUAAUCCAUAUAGUAAAACGUUGCG